Long non-coding RNA from Bombina bombina (fire-bellied toad), 2868 nucleotides. RefSeq lists it as uncharacterized. The record is from RefSeq and is a predicted model, not a curated record. The transcript has 3 exons. NCBI's taxonomy places the organism in Eukaryota, Metazoa, Chordata, Amphibia, Anura, Bombinatoridae.
CUGAACUUCUUUGUAAACUUUUUUGCUGGGUUUUUUUCAGAGUAGGUCCAUUUUGUUAGGAUUAUGUGCACUGAGUACUUUAGUCAAAGUUCAGCUGAACCUGUGAUGUCACCAAGGACAGUUUGCAGCGUGAGUAUUUUGUUCCGCUUGUCGGAAGUGUUCUGGGCCGAGGGCUGCUUACACGAUUGCGAGGAGAGGAUUUACCUUAAGUGACUCUCUUGGAUUCAGUGAUUAUUUGCCAUCCUAGGGACAGUUUGAGCUGUGGGACCUUCUUGUUGUCCCGCAUUGCUAUAAACUGAGGCAGCGGUGAGUCCAUUGUUUUCUUAAAACACAUUAAUAUUGGGGGGGCGGAGCCAGCUAUCGAAGCAACCAGACGUGUUUCUGUGGAGCUCCUAAUACAAUCUUGGGCCAAAUUAUUAAUAUAAUCUUUAAAUUACCUACUACCAUACUGAAAAGCUUCAGGGAAACUCUUCAUUAACCGAGGGAUACAAAUGUGCUGUACUUUGGGAACAUGCAGUCGGCAUAUACCUCUCUAUAAUGCCAUGUGGCGAGAUCUGACAUCUAGCCUAUAUCUCUGGGUUAUUGCACCCUUCUCCUGCUGGGAUCUUUGGCUCCAAAAGCUGUCUUGAUAGUAUAGUAAACCAGAGAAGAUCUGGAGACACUGGUUACCCUAAAAGACAGGUACACUGAAUUUACCCAGACAAGACGUAGCACAAUCAAAAUGGAGGCUCUAGCAGCUUGGGAACAACGUACCCAACUACUUAUAGAUCAGCAUUUUCAGAGCCUAAAAGAGCACUUCAUCUCUAUAUUAUCCUCCCUCCCGCUCCUACCGGAAUCUACAGCCGACAAUACCCACCCUGGACAAGGGGCUGAAAUGUACGCUAAGCCUGCACACUUGAAUAUAGAGAACCAGGGCAUUCCCCUGACCAGGCCUGCGCUCAAUUUCCCGCACUACCGACUACACCGAUCACCGGACAUAAGCUCUCUGGGGCUGGGAGGCAAAGAAGGGGCGCCAAAAAUUGAAGAAGCUCCAAGCUCUAAUAUAUCUCAUAUACAGGAGGUUGCAGUACCGGGAAUCCCUGGCACAAAGCGCGAUCCUCCCCACCGGAUCAUUUAUCAAGAAAAGGCUGCAGAGUGUGGGGUUAACUUGAAGUACUGCCAUGAGAGAGCACAUCAACUAGCCUGCCGACACCUAUUCGGGUUGCAAGAAACAGGCCACACCAUCAAUCCAUGGCUUCUACAGCUUCCAGAACAAGUACUCAAAGUAGGAGUCGGCUAAGAAAAUUAUCUUCACUGUUAAGCUACUAACGUUCCCACGGUGGGUUUCUGAUAUACACAGCAAUAUUCUCCGUUGCCUAUGUGUGACUUGGUGUAGGUGGGCUUUUUUAUUUCUGCUUUCCCUACAGAGUUAAUCCUAAACUUCAUUUUCAUCUUCAUCUUUCUAGUCUGACAUUAGUUACAGCCUGCAAAUUGAGAGACAAUGUUGAUUUAUAUGCCGUGUUUGGUUUGCCUAUACUUUGGGAUGGUGUGGGUUCGUGGACAUAGCAUGGCUAAUUUUAAUUGGCACCUUCUAUACACACUUACACAGAGAAUACCCCUUCUGGAAAGAUUCAGUGCUCCGACUAGAGGACUUUCUACAAAGUUUAAUUACGUUUGCCUUUAUUAACAUGCUAUGUGGAUAUGUAUAACUAUCUGUUUUCUGGUAUGGAUGCGUGAAUUUGUAUGUUGCCUCAUGUUCUGUUAGAUGGCUGACUUGCUAUAUACAAAGAGCCACUUACUUUAUUAGGAUUCCCGUAUCAGAUCGCAUGCUAACAGCUUAAAUAUGUAUUUGCAUUGCCUGACAAGUAAAUACCAACUGCGACCACUAGAGGGGAGUAAAGAAUUAGAUAUGAGCUAUACGGGAUCUACUCUAGUUUUUACACUUACUAAUUUGUUGUUAGACAUGUCUCCUAUAUUUUUGUAGUUAUUUUAGGUGACCUCUGCCUGGUGUCUAAUCUAGAUAGAAGGAAUAGUAACAUCUCACUGUUUUAGGCACUGAAACAUGACACCUACUCAACCACAGGAUCGCCUCCAUAUCGCUGAGGAAGAGGUGCAGAACCGGACAUGCUCCUGUUAGGACUAAGUGCAGCAGCAAUAGGAGCAGGAGCAGCCAUAGCUUGCGAGGCACUCUGAUCCAAAAUGUGCAGUCUCCAAAUACACCUUUUUGAGCUAGGAACAACGAUGAUGCAAACAAUAACACCAUUCCUAUACUGGAAAAAUAUUGGAAAUAUUAGAAAAGUCACCCAUCAGCAACAUGGACAGCAUAGACUACGGUGAUCAAAAUCUUAAGUUAUUGAAUAAAUAUCGACAACAAAGUGGACAAAAUUCAACUGCUUAAGGCAUUUGAUGAAUGCUUAACAUCCAGAGAUUGACCAAUUACACACAUUGGGUAAAUGAUAACAAAAUCAUCCACAAAUCUGCUCAUGCUUGAAUCCAAAAACAAGAUGGUGCUUCUGAUGCCAUCAAUGACGGUCCUUUUGGAUAAUGAUCAAUUUGCACCAUAUAACUUUACUGAACCUGUGAUGGCCCCUUUGGAUUCGGAUGUUUGUUGCUCUGUAUCACUGAUCAACAGCUAUUAUUGGAUUGUUAACAAUGUUAUUCUGGAGAUAUCAAAUAUUGUCUGAUCCCCAGAAUUUAGGAAAUAUUAUAAUUGAGGCCAUUUUAUUUUACAUUUAAAGAGACUUCUAAUAUUCCUAAGUUGUUUUAAUGAGAACAAUUUUGCAGGUCUUCUAAUUUACUUUGCAAUAGUCAGCCUUUUUUUUCAUCUGAAAUAACCUUCCAUGGACUUAAUUCAGUCUUGACAUAACAAUAAAGUAAGAAUCUAAGUCU